RNAcentral lists this ribosomal RNA (494 nucleotides) under uncultured bacterium. Its description in RNAcentral is "partial 16S ribosomal RNA". It matches the Rfam family "Bacterial small subunit ribosomal RNA", at positions 28 to 507 of the family's 1533-position model. The record is from RNAcentral.
GACGAACGCUGGCGGCGUGCUUAACACAUGCAAGUCGAACGGUGAAGCGCCUUCCUUUUUGGUGGGUGUGGAUGAGCGGCGAACGGGUGAGUAACACGUGAGUAACCUGCCCCCUUCUUCUGGAUAACCGCGUGAAAGUGUGGCUAAUACGGGAUAUUCUGGGUCUGUCGCAUGAUGGGUCUGGGAAAGAUAUUGUUUCGGUGGGGGAUGGGCUCGCGGCCUAUCAGCUUGUUGGUGGGGUGAUGGCCUACCAAGGCGGUGACGGGUAGCCGGCCUGAGAGGGUGGACGGUCACACUGGGACUGAGACACGGCCCAGACUCCUACGGGAGGCAGCAGUGGGGAAUAUUGCACAAUGGGCGCAAGCCUGAUGCAGCGACGCCGCGUGAGGGAUGGAGGCCUUCGGGUUGUGAACCUCUUUCGCCAGUGAAGCAGGCCUGCCUCGUUUGUGGGUGGGUUGACGGUAGCUGGAUAAGAAGCGCCGGCUAACUACGUG